GACCCCGUAGCUCAAUUGGAUAGAGCGCAUGGCUACGAACCAUGAGGUUCGGAGUUCAAGUCUCCGCGGGGUCGCCA
This 77-nucleotide transfer RNA is filed under the name Acidobacteriota bacterium. Its description in RNAcentral is "Acidobacteria bacterium tRNA-Arg". It matches the Rfam family "tRNA". Rfam says of the family: Transfer RNA (tRNA) molecules are approximately 80 nucleotides in length. Their secondary structure includes four short double-helical elements and three loops (D, anti-codon, and T loops). RNAcentral also lists the same sequence under 1 other name. Lineage: Bacteria; Pseudomonadati; Acidobacteriota. The record is from RNAcentral.